AUAACGACUCUCGGCAACGGAUAUCUCGGCUCACGCAUCGAUGAAGAACGUAGCAAAAUGCGAUACUUGGUGUGAAUUGCAGAAUCCCGUGAACCAUCGAGUUUUUGAACGCAAGUUGCGCCCGAAGCCAUCUGGCUGAGGGCACGUCUGCCUGGGCGUCACGCAUCAU
This 169-nucleotide ribosomal RNA is filed under the name Helianthella uniflora. Its description in RNAcentral is "5.8S ribosomal RNA". It matches the Rfam family "5.8S ribosomal RNA". From Rfam's summary of the family: 5.8S ribosomal RNA (5.8S rRNA) is a component of the large subunit of the eukaryotic ribosome. It is transcribed by RNA polymerase I as part of the 45S precursor that also contains 18S and 28S rRNA. Lineage: Eukaryota; Viridiplantae; Streptophyta; Magnoliopsida; Asterales; Asteraceae. The record is from RNAcentral.